Molecule: ribosomal RNA, 427 nt
Filed under: uncultured bacterium
Lineage: Bacteria
Description: partial 16S ribosomal RNA
Rfam family: Bacterial small subunit ribosomal RNA
Source: RNAcentral
UGGGGAAUAUUGGACAAUGGGCGAAAGCCUGAUCCAGCCAUGCCGCGUGUGUGAAGAAGGUCUUCGGAUUGUAAAGCACCUUAAGUUGGGAGGAAGGGCAUUAACCUAAUACGUUAGUGUUUUGACGUUACCGACAGAAUAAGCACCGGCUAACUCUGUGCCAGCAGCCGCGGUAAUACAGAGGGUGCAAGCGUUAAUCGGAAUUACUGGGCGUAAAGCGCGCGUAGGUGGUUUGUUAAGUUGGAUGUGAAAUCCCCGGGCUCAACCUGGGAACUGCAUUCAAAACUGACUGACUAGAGUAUGGUAGAGGGUGGUGGAAUUUCCUGUGUAGCGGUGAAAUGCAUAGAUAUAGGAAGGAACACCAGUGGCGAAGGCGACCACCUGGACUAAUACUGACACUGAGGUGCGAAAGCGUGGGGAGCAAACA